Molecule: ribosomal RNA, 592 nt
Filed under: uncultured Bacteroidota bacterium
Lineage: Bacteria; Pseudomonadati; Bacteroidota
Description: bacterial SSU rRNA
Rfam family: Bacterial small subunit ribosomal RNA
Source: RNAcentral
CAACCUGCCGAUGACUCGGGAUAGCCUUUCGAAAGAAAGAUUAAUACCCGAUGGCAUAGUUCUUCNNCAUGGUGGAACUAUUAAAGAAUUUCGAUCAUCGAUGGGGAUGCGUUCCAUUAGGUUGUUGGCGGGGUAACGGCCCACCAAGCCUUCGAUGGAUAGGGGUUCUGAGAGGAAGGUCCCCCACAUUGGAACUGAGACACGGUCCAAACUCCUACGGGAGGCAGCAGUGAGGAAUAUUGGUCAAUGGACGAGAGUCUGAACCAGCCAAGUAGCGUGAAGGAUGACUGCCCUAUGGGUUGUAAACUUCUUUUAUACGGGAAUAAGUGAGGCACGUGUGCCUUUUUGUAUGUACCGUAUGAAUAAGGAUCGGCUAACUCCGUGCCAGCAGCCGCGGUAAUACGGAGGAUCCGAGCGUUAUCCGGAUUUAUUGGGUUUAAAGGGAGCGUAGGCGGACGCUUAAGUCAGUUGUGAAAGUUUGCGGCUCAACCGUAAAAUUGCAGUUGAUACUGGGUGUCUUGAGUACAGUAGAGGCAGGCGGAAUUCGUGGUGUAGCGGUGAAAUGCUUAGAUAUCACGAAGAACUCCGAUUG